UACGUAGGGGGCUAGCGUUGUCCGGAAUCAUUGGGCGUAAAGCGCGCGUAGGCGGCCCGGUAAGUCCGCUGUGAAAGUCAGGGGCUCAACCCUCGAAUGCCGGUGGAUACUGUCGGGCUAGAGUGCGGAAGAGGCGAGUGGAAUUCCUGGUGUAGCGGUGAAAUGCGCAGAUAUCAGGAGGAACACCUAUUGCGAAGGCAGCUCGCUGGGACGUAACUGACGCUGAGACGCGAAAGCGUGGGGAGCAAACAGG
Molecule: ribosomal RNA, 253 nt
Filed under: uncultured bacterium
Lineage: Bacteria
Description: partial 16S ribosomal RNA
Rfam family: Bacterial small subunit ribosomal RNA
Source: RNAcentral